UAUGCAUCCAAAAAUGUAGGUGUAGCCAAUAAUUCUUGCAUAACAUAUAUUCUACACAUACCUUUUCAUACUUUUAGGUUUUCAUCGAUUUGUCUAUCAAGCAUACAAACAUCCAGAGGGAAAGAAGUUGAAAUUUGACGAACCUUGUCUUCCCAAAGAUCCUAAUGAUCCACGCCGCCAGCACUUCUCAACCAAGAAAUUUGUGGGGAAAUACAAUCUUGGUAAACCGAUUGCCGUAAAUUUCUUUGAGGCUGAGUGGAAGCCGUAUUACGACGAGCACCCAAUGGCCGGAAUCGACGAGGAUUUCAUCUCAGAUCAUAGUGAUGAGGAACAUAAAGGAGAGGAAAAGAAAUAAAAAAAAAAAACCGUAAAUGAA
Non-coding RNA from Bemisia tabaci, 376 nucleotides. The record is from RefSeq and is a predicted model, not a curated record. NCBI's taxonomy places the organism in Eukaryota, Metazoa, Arthropoda, Insecta, Hemiptera, Aleyrodidae.